GGCUUAAUCUACAAAUCAACCAAGACCAAAUUGUCCGAUUUAAUAUAAUUAGAAGAAAUGUGUGGGAUGGGGCCACAAGAGCGAUGACUAGAGCCAACUUUUCUUCAGACAAGGCAGCGGAUGUCAAAUUCACUGAUGACCAUCUGUGAAGUCAAACUGGUACUUCCUGGCUGGCCAGCUAAUGGCCAUGUCAGUUCUCCAUGGAGGCCAAGGCCAAUGCUUUUUUUCUCCAAUACUGUUUGAGUGCCUUGUGAGAGGUCCAGGUCAUGUCAAGGUCACAGUAUCAGAUGUGGCUGAUCCAGAGACCAGUCUGCAGUUGAAAUUGGAUGUAAUCGGAAGAUCACAUUGACAAACAAAGAAGACGUGUCUACAUAAUUGGCAGAAUGGUAUAUUCUACAGAAGACC
This is a long non-coding RNA of Anguilla anguilla (European eel), 405 nucleotides long. RefSeq lists it as uncharacterized. The transcript has 3 exons. The record is from RefSeq and is a predicted model, not a curated record. Lineage: Eukaryota; Metazoa; Chordata; Actinopteri; Anguilliformes; Anguillidae.